UAGUCAUGCGCUCGUCUCAAAGAUUAAGCCAUGCAUGUCUAAGUGUAAAUACUUUUACUUUGAAACUGCGAACGGCUCAUUAUGUCAGUUGUAGUUUAUCUGAUAGUCCCUUACUACUUGGAUAACCGUAGUAAUUCUAGAGCUAACACAUGCAUCAAUGCCCAACUGUUCGCGGACGGGUAGUACUUACUAGAUAGAAACCAACCCUCUUCGGAGGCGCUCAGGUGAUUCAUGAUAACUCUGCGAAUCGCAUGGCCUCGUGCCGGCGAUGGAUCAUUCAAGUUUCUGCCCUACCAGCUUUGGAUGGUAGGGUAUUGGCCUACCACGGCUUUAACGGGUAACGGGUAGUUAGGGUUAGAUUCCGGAGAGGGGGCAUGAGAGAUGGCCACCACAUCCAAGGAAGGCAGCAGGCGCGUAAAUUACCCAAUCCUGACACAGGGAGGUAGUGACAAGAAAUAACAAUGCCGGGCCUUUCUAGGUCUGGCAAUUGGAACGAGAACAAUUUAAAUCCCUUACCGAGGAUCAAAUAGG
RNAcentral lists this ribosomal RNA (531 nucleotides) under uncultured microeukaryote. Its description in RNAcentral is "SSU rRNA". It matches the Rfam family "Eukaryotic small subunit ribosomal RNA", at positions 21 to 552 of the family's 1831-position model. The record is from RNAcentral.